Molecule: transfer RNA, 71 nt
Filed under: Sandaracinus sp.
Lineage: Bacteria; Pseudomonadati; Myxococcota; Polyangiales; Sandaracinaceae
Description: tRNA-Trp
Source: RNAcentral
ACGUCGAUGCUCUGGGAGCAACGCGGAUUCCAACCCCGCGGAGGUGGGUUCGAAACCUGCUCGGCGUGCCA